Molecule: non-coding RNA, 3143 nt
Organism: Coffea arabica (coffee)
Lineage: Eukaryota; Viridiplantae; Streptophyta; Magnoliopsida; Gentianales; Rubiaceae
Source: RefSeq, a predicted model, not a curated record
AUAUCCUCACCAAAUGCUGGAGACAGCUUGACUUUUGCUAGCACUAUGACUUUCCUCGCUUAACAUCCUUGCCAAAAAGAAAGGCGGGAAGCUUCCCUCCAAAUUGUAGUCAUAGUGGCGCCAAGGCUUUUUGGUACUCGUGAGAAUUCAUGCAGUUCCACGCUGAUGUACCGCACUUGGUGAGGACAGGUUCUCGCCGAUCUGUAUUUGACCAAUAGCAAGAAGUGGUUCUAUUCUUGCUAAAAUAAAAAUACAACCAAACGUUGUAGUUUUAAGAGUUAAGAGGCCUUUGAAAAAGGAAAAGAAAAAGAAGAAACAGAAGAGUAAAGUGCAGAUGCAGGAAGAUAAAUGCCACCAAGUUCGUUGAUUUCAUUCUCUUUCCCUUUUAAUUUCUCUGAAUUCUCUCUCUAACAAUUUGUAAUCAGGUGCGCUUUUUCUUCUUCUUUUUCUUCUUCUAUUUUAAGAUCAAGGCUAGAUAUGUAAAACUUUACUUGUUAUUUUUAUUGCGGUUACUAAUUGUGUCUAUGUGGUCCUCUUGAAUUUAAUAAUCGAUUGCUACCAUGUGAAUCCCAUAAGAAUCUGAUUGAGUUUUCUUUGCUACCUAUCAUCCUCCGUGUUCAUGUUUAUAAUAUUUGAGUUAUUCACUUCUUUUAACACAUUUGGCAUGUUCAACAAGUCAGGAUUCUUGUUUUGUGCUUCUUUAUGGUAGAACCAUGUUCAUUACCUUUGUAACCUUUUUUUGCUUGUAUGAUUUUAUAUCCCUAAUCCUUCUUAACUUGUAUAGGAGUUGUGUCUUUAACAUGGUAUGCUUUUGUUGAAUAAGUGGUUAAAUUAUGGUCUGCUAUAUCAUAGAAGAUAACAAUACUUUCGUAUCAUUAGCUAUUGUCCUUUUGGACAAUUUAUAGGUUUGGCCUUAUCGUUAGUAAAGGCCAUUAUUCUUCAACUACUGAAAGCAUAGAAAUAAAAAGUUCCAGUCCUCAGAGAUGUCAUUUUGAGUAAUAGUAGUUUUGUUUUACUAGUAACAUCCAAUGAUAUCUUCAAGAUUUAGAAUAGCGCACUACUAAAAUGAGUAUUGAAUAGCACUAAUCGGAACAUGACAAAUGAGAAGAUAUGUAGAUUUUCUAGCUGAUUACAUUCACCCAGUAAUUCAUUGCCAACCAGUAUUUGGAUUGAAAUUGCAUUUGUUCUGGUGCAUACCUUGUUGAUUAUAGGAUCUUUUGUCAAUCUGUGUAUGUUUGUGGUCCUUCAAGUUGGCUGAACUUAGAUGCAGAAGGCAUGACGAAUUUGACUAUCAGUACUUUACACAACGACAUUAAUCUCAAGGCUUAGUUUCAAAGGAACAAAGACACAAUUCAAAGUAACAAAUGAGAAAAUAACUCUGCUGCAAAAACAUUUUUGUUUUUCUCUAUAAAAAUUUGACAAGGCCUAGAACUCUCAGGAUUUCUUAGCAUUCUCUACAGAACCAUACAUCUAUCCAAACCUGGUUGAUUUGCCACCUCCAAAAUGCGUCCUGGACUUGAAAACAAAGAUGGCAUUUGGGUCCUUGACAUCAUACAUCCUAGCCAAUUUCUCCUUCAACUCAGCCUUGGAAACAUUAGGCCUUCGAGGAUGCAGAACAUCAAUGAUGAAUUGUUUUCUGGAAAGAAGACGAUUGGUCAUGAACUUCCUAGUAAGAAUAGUCACCACCUUGUCCGCCAUUUUUCUUGCCUCCGGCGCCGCCAUUGCUUCCGCUCUUUCUCCUCUGAAUGGGCGGUUGGUUGGGGAAGCGACAGAAGGGGAACGUAAAAGGCUUUCUUACAAUAAUCAAUGUCCAUGAGGGUCUUGAAUUUUAUAGUAAUAGAUUGAUGCCAAGUUAAUCCCAGAGCAAUCUUGCUGAGUUUUCUUGGCCAUGAUUCCAUGUUCACUCUUUAAAAGAUAGGGAGUGUAAUUGAUCAAAUGGGGGAGCCAACAGCUUCAACGUCUUCAGUGUUAGAGCAAUGGAUAAAUGCUGCUAGUCCUUUCAAUGAAUCAGUUGUGGCAUUUUAAUUAGCAUUAUCUUGUGUGAAAAACAGGACUUCUUUUUUCUCUCUCUCUCUCGACUUAAUUAGAACAUUUCUUUAGCUGUUUCACCGCUGAGCUGGGUGAGGAAUUGGUAUGGUGCCAUAAUAGCACUGCUUUCUUGAAGUGAUAUCGCUGCUCUGUUUUUCCUCUGUUUCUAGCCGUGUUUCCAACAACUUCUUUGGAACUCUCCAGUUUUUACAGCUUGUGUUUCUGUCAGCCGUUUCCAUGACUAGUUGCAGAUGUAGCUUCUCUUCUCACAAUCCAAAGCCCCAAAAUCCAAACACCCCUCGCCCCCCACCCCAAAAAAAACUCCUGCAUGAAUGCAUGCAGCUUGGUAGGUGGACAAGUGCAUGAGCAUGCAUGACAUCUUUCAGCAAUAAUAAUGACUUUCCAUCGUUGUAUCAUCAUUCUUUCAAACAAUUUAUUGGUGAUGUCACCAAUUUGUGCUUCUGUGUGAUGAUGUUAGUACGAAUCUCAAUUAAUAUGAAUGCAUAGAGUCAGUCCUCUGUUAUUUCUAGUAAUACACUAUGACAAAAUGAUGAAUGGAUGUGAUGCAAGUUAUAUGUGAUUUUGGAAAGCAAAAUAUGGGUAGCCAAAUACAUGGGAAGUUUUAGUGCUGAGAAAUGCAGUUGAGGCACAAUGGUUUUAGUAAAAAAUUUCAUUAUGUGGAAAAUCUCUUACAUUAAAUUUUUGUUUUGCAGGUUUAUUUUGGAGAUUUUGGAUGGAAAUAGGCUGUGCAAUCUAGAAGGAGCCACUUGAGCUUGAAUUGUUUUUGAAGUUUGGCUAGUUUUGGAUGUGGUAGAUGAUAAAAUAUUUUUGAAGCUAGGCUUAUUUUUGUUUAAAAGGAGUAAUGGUUAACAUUGCGAAUUUGGAAAUAGGUUGCAAUCUGGAAGGCACCGUGAAAGUGUUUAAAAUGUUUAGGUGGCUUGUUUGGGAUGUAAUAGGUGACAAGACCUUUUGGAAGCUCAAGUUUGUUUUAAACGGUGGUUAUUUUGGAAAGGCACAAUUGCUGUUCAUGUAUUUUUGAAGUAAUGACUUCAACUUUUGGUCAUGCAUAGGUGCUGAAUUAUGAUUAAAUGUCAAACGUCCCUUUUUCCAUCCUA